UACGGGGGGGGCAAGCGUUGUUCGGAAUUACUGGGCGUAAAGGGCUCGUAGGCGGCCAACUAAGUCGGAUGUGAAAUCCCCAAGCUUAACUUGGGAACUGCAUCCGAUACUGGAUGGCUUGAAUCCGGGAGAGGGAUGCAGAAUUCCAGGUGUAGCGGUGAAAUGCGUAGAUAUCUGGAGGAAGACCGGUGGCGAAGGCGGCAUCCUGGACCGGCAUUGACGCUGAUGAGCGAAAGCUAGGGGAGCAAACGGG
This 253-nucleotide ribosomal RNA is filed under the name uncultured bacterium. Its description in RNAcentral is "partial 16S ribosomal RNA". It matches the Rfam family "Bacterial small subunit ribosomal RNA", at positions 524 to 776 of the family's 1533-position model. The record is from RNAcentral.